CUUACCAGGUCUUGACAUCUUCUGCUAUUUCUAGAGAUAGAAAGUUCCCUUCGGGGACGGAAUGACAGGUGGUGCAUGGUUGUCGUCAGCUCGUGUCGUGAGAUGUUGGGUUAAGUCCGCAACGAGCGCAACCCUUAUGACUAGUUGCCAGCAUUAAGUUGGGCACUCUAGUAAGACUGCCGGUGACAAACCGGAGGAAGGUGGGGACGACGUCAAAUCAUCAUGCCCCUUAUGACCUGGGCUACACACGUGCUACAAUGGUUGGUACAACGAGUUGCGAACUCGCGAGGGUAAGCUAAUCUCUUAAAGCCAAUCUCAGUUCGGACUGUAGGCUGCAACUCGCCUACACGAAGUCGGAAUCGCUAGUAAUCGCGGAUCAGCAUGCCGCGGUGAAUACGUUCCCGGGCCUUGUACACACCGCCCGUCACACCAUGAGAGUUUGUAACACCCAAAGCCGGUGGGGCAACCCUUCGGGGAGCUAGCCGUCUAAGGUGGGACAGAUGAUUAGGGUGAAGUCGUAACAAGGUAGGCGUAGACGU
RNAcentral lists this ribosomal RNA (539 nucleotides) under uncultured bacterium. RNAcentral's name for it is "bacterial SSU rRNA". It matches the Rfam family "Bacterial small subunit ribosomal RNA", at positions 970 to 1509 of the family's 1533-position model. The record is from RNAcentral.